AUUGAACGCUGGCGGCAUGCCUUACACAUGCAAGUCGAACGGCAGCACGGGCUUCGGUCUGGUGGCGAGUGGCGAACGGGUGAGUAAUGUAUCGGAACGUACCCUUCAGUGGGGGAUAACUAUCCGAAAGGGUAGCUAAUACCGCAUAUUCUCUGAGGAGGAAAGCGGGGGAUCGCAAGACCUCGCGCUGAUGGAGCGGCCGAUAUCAGAUUAGCUAGUUGGUGGGGUAAAGGCCUACCAAGGCGACGAUCUGUAGCGGGUCUGAGAGGAUGAUCCGCCACACUGGGACUGAGACACGGCCCAGACUCCUACGGGAGGCAGCAGUGGGGAAUUUUGGACAAUGGGGGCAACCCUGAUCCAGCCAUGCCGCGUGAGUGAAGAAGGCCUUCGGGUUGUAAAGCUCUUUCGGCCGGGAAGAAAUCGCGUGAGUUAAUACCUUGCGUGGAUGACGGUACCGGAAUAAGAAGCACCGGCUAACUACGUG
RNAcentral lists this ribosomal RNA (484 nucleotides) under uncultured organism. Its description in RNAcentral is "bacterial SSU rRNA". It matches the Rfam family "Bacterial small subunit ribosomal RNA", at positions 30 to 507 of the family's 1533-position model. The record is from RNAcentral.